Molecule: ribosomal RNA, 466 nt
Filed under: uncultured bacterium
Lineage: Bacteria
Description: partial 16S ribosomal RNA
Rfam family: Bacterial small subunit ribosomal RNA
Source: RNAcentral
GAUGAACGCUGGCGGCGUGCUUAACACAUGCAAGUCGAACGAUGAAGCCCAGCUUGCUGGGUGGAUUAGUGGCGAACGGGUGAGUAACACGUGAGUAACCUGCCCUUGACUCUGGGAUAAGCCUGGGAAACUGGGUCUAAUACUGGAUAUGACUUCUCAUCGCAUGGUGGGGGGUGGAGAGAUUUAUUGGUCUUGGAUGGACUCGCGGCCUAUCAGCUUGUUGGUGAGGUGAUGGCUCACCAAGGCGACGACGGGUAGCCGGCCUGAGAGGGUGACCGGCCACACUGGGACUGAGACACGGCCCAGACUCCUACGGGAGGCAGCAGUGGGGAAUAUUGCACAAUGGGCGCAAGCCUGAUGCAGCGACGCCGCGUGAGGGAUGACGGCCUUCGGGUUGUAAACCUCUUUCAGUAGGGAAGAAGCGAGAGUGACGGUACCUGCAGAAGAAGCGCCGGCUAACUACGUG